RNAcentral lists this ribosomal RNA (306 nucleotides) under Escherichia coli. RNAcentral describes it as "partial 16S ribosomal RNA". It matches the Rfam family "Bacterial small subunit ribosomal RNA", at positions 1 to 303 of the family's 1533-position model. The record is from RNAcentral. Lineage: Bacteria; Pseudomonadati; Pseudomonadota; Gammaproteobacteria; Enterobacterales; Enterobacteriaceae.
AAAUUGAAGAGUUUGAUCAUGGCUCAGAUUGAACGCUGGCGGCAGGCCUAACACAUGCAAGUCGAACGGUAACAGAAAGCAGCUUGCUGCUUUGCUGACGAGUGGCGGACGGGUGAGUAAUGUCUGGGAAACUGCCUGAUGGAGGGGGAUAACUACUGGAAACGGUAGCUAAUACCGCAUAACGUCGCAAGACCAAAGAGGGGGACCUUCGGGCCUCUUGCCAUCGGAUGUGCCCAGAUGGGAUUAGCUAGUAGGUGGGGUAAAGGCUCACCUAGGCGACGAUCCCUAGCUGGUCUGAGAGGAUGA